This 76-nucleotide transfer RNA is filed under the name Campylobacter sp. Its description in RNAcentral is "tRNA-Val". It matches the Rfam family "tRNA". Rfam says of the family: Transfer RNA (tRNA) molecules are approximately 80 nucleotides in length. RNAcentral also lists the same sequence under 3 other names. The record is from RNAcentral. Lineage: Bacteria; Pseudomonadati; Campylobacterota; Epsilonproteobacteria; Campylobacterales; Campylobacteraceae.
GGUCCCGUAGCUCAGCUGGUAGAGCACCACCUUGACAUGGUGGUGGUCGAUGGUUCAAACCCAUUCGGGGCCACCA